This 1131-nucleotide long non-coding RNA is filed under the name Zostera marina. RNAcentral's name for it is "long non-coding RNA (ZMAR_LNC000910)". The record is from RNAcentral. Lineage: Eukaryota; Viridiplantae; Streptophyta; Magnoliopsida; Alismatales; Zosteraceae.
GAACAAAUGAACCAAUCGGAAACCAAAAACACGAUGAACAUACCUGUUGGAACCCAACCCAAUUGGAAUUCAAUGGGAAACCAAAAACACGAACAAAUGAAGAAACCCAUCGGAACAAAUGAAGAAACCUAUCGAUAGCCAAUCGGAACUCAAAAACUCGAUGAACAAACUUAUCGGAACCCAAACCAAUCGGAACCCAACCUAACAGGAUGAACAAACCUAUUGGAACCCAACCCAACACAUUCUAUGAACAAACUUAUCCUAACCCAAAUCCCGACGACGUCGACGAGACGAAAGAAGAACAAGGAAAUACGACGGCACACCCUAUACCAAAAACACGAUUGACAGACAAUCCAAUCGAGAAUCCAAAAACACGAUGAACAUAACUAAUCCGAACACAAUCGAGAACCCAAAACCACGGUGAACGACCCUAUUGAAACACGACACAGUCGGAACCCAAUCAAGAACCAAAAAACACGAUGAACAAUCUGUCGGAACGCACCUUGUCAGAAGCCAAUCGGAACCCAAAAAAAUCUAUAAACAAACCUAUCCGAACCCAAAACCCGCCGACGUCGAUGAAAAGAAUAUUUAUGAAAAGCAUAUGAAUAGCCUCUAUACCUAUAUACGACGGCACACCCUAUACCAAAAAUACGAUUGACAGGCAAUCCAAUCGAGAACCCAAAAAUACGAUGAACAUAACUAAUCCGAACACAAUCGAGAACCCAAAACCACGAUGAACGACCCUAUUGAAACACGACACAGUCGGAACCCAAUCAAGAACCAAAAAACACGAUGAACAAUCUAUCGGAACGCACCUUGUCGGAAGCUAAUUGGAACCCAAAAAAAUCUAUGAACAAACCUAUUCGAACCCAAAACCCGCCGAUGUCAUUCAGAAAAUAUUUAUGAAUAGCCUCUAUACUUAUGAAUAGUCUCUAUAGCUGUAACCUAUAGACUCUAUAUAGCUAUAACCUAUGAAUUAUACAAAACGUAUAGUAUUUUACACCACUAAUGACGCUACUUAAUUAAAAGUGAGAAAAUUAUCAUCUCAAGCGAAGUUCUCACGGUCCUCUCACCUGAUAUGAAUUGUUCAAAUAUAAGGGAAAAUUGUAAAAACGGUGUAUGUUGUAAAUG